This 507-nucleotide ribosomal RNA is filed under the name uncultured bacterium. Its description in RNAcentral is "bacterial SSU rRNA". It matches the Rfam family "Bacterial small subunit ribosomal RNA", at positions 18 to 518 of the family's 1533-position model. The record is from RNAcentral.
CCUGGCUCAGGAUGAACGCUAGCGGCAGGCUUAACACAUGCAAGUCGAGGGGCAUCGGGAGUAGCAAUACCUGCCGGCGACCGGCGCAAGGGUGCGUAACGCGUGAGCAACAUGCCCGUAUCAGGGGGAUAAUCCAUGGAAACGUGGUCUAAUACCCCAUAGUAAUUAUGUAAGGCAUCUUAUAUAAUUUAAAGCUUUGGUGGAUACGGAUUGGCUCGCGUGACAUUAGCUGGAUGGUAAGGUAACGGCUUACCAUGGCUACGAUGUCUAGGGGUUCUGAGAGGAAGGUCCCCCCACACUGGAACUGAGACACGGUCCAGACUCCUACGGGAGGCAGCAGUGAGGAAUAUUGGACAAUGGAUGGAAAUCUGAUCCAGCCAUGCCGCGUGCAGGAAAGACGGCCCUAUGGGUUGUAAACUGCUUUUGUAUGGGAGCAAUAAGGGCUACGUGUAGUCCGAUGAGAGUACCAUACGAAUAAGCACCGGCUAACUCCGUGCCAGCCGCAGC